Long non-coding RNA from Patiria miniata (bat star), 300 nucleotides. RefSeq lists it as uncharacterized. NCBI's taxonomy places the organism in Eukaryota, Metazoa, Echinodermata, Asteroidea, Valvatida, Asterinidae. The record is from RefSeq and is a predicted model, not a curated record. The transcript has 4 exons.
CCCGCUUCCGGAAAGAUUUUUUAUUAAAUCUAGCAGAAUUUUGCGAUAUUCAUCUGGUCAUGUCACCGGCACCCUACUAGAAAAAAAACACCCCGGCCCUGGCCCUGUCCCGUCACGCUGAUACCAAGUUGUAAGUUGUAGGCUGUGGAAAUGGCAGAAAUUACUUCUUUCAAACCAGACAAACAACAGACAGGAACGAUGAAAAGACCGGCACAAUCGUCAAAGCCAAAGGACUGGAAGAAGUGGAGAGAUGAAAAUAAAGCAAAGAAGAAGAAAUAUAAAGAUGCCAAGCUGGAAUGU